UUCCCCCUUUAAAACCCUUCUCAACCCUCUGAAUCCUCUCUUGUAACUAUUGCAAAAAUGUUUCUUUUUUUCUUUAUUUUUUUUUAGAUCUUAGAUCAGUAUUGUUUUUUCUUCCGGGGAGAAUGGGACCGUUACUGGCCUUUCUUUGACGACUUUGCCAUCACUGGCACUCUUAAUUCUUGUCACCAGAUUCUCUAUCAUCCUCACCGAAUCAACUAGAUAUUUGUGUUUUUGCAGAGUAGGAUGCGAAGAAUUCCCCAUCUGUGCAGAGGCACAAGAAAUGACAACAACAAUAUCAAUUGAAGAUGUUCAUUGGGAGGUGAAAUAUGGAAAGCAUUAUUGGGGCAUACGAAUAUGAUCAAAUUCCAUGAUGCUUUUGAGGAUGAAAACAAUGUCUAUGUUGUCAUGGAAUAAUUUGAAGAUGGAGAACUACUGGACAAGAUUUUAUCAAGGUAUUAAAGGAGAAGGACUGCUUCUACUCCCUUUGAUACUUCAUAUAUUUUUAGUUGCUUUUUAGCUUUGACUCCAUACUUUUUGAUGAGGAUGCUCCAAUGAGGAUUAUUGAUUUUGGUCUA
Populus trichocarpa (black cottonwood) is the source of this 575-nucleotide long non-coding RNA. RefSeq lists it as uncharacterized. The transcript has 4 exons. Lineage: Eukaryota; Viridiplantae; Streptophyta; Magnoliopsida; Malpighiales; Salicaceae. The record is from RefSeq and is a predicted model, not a curated record.